This 1480-nucleotide long non-coding RNA is filed under the name Homo sapiens (human). Its description in RNAcentral is "HSALNT0125582". The record is from RNAcentral. Lineage: Eukaryota; Metazoa; Chordata; Mammalia; Primates; Hominidae.
GGUGUUUGGACCAUGUUUACCAGAAGCAAAUGUAUAGUUACUAGUGCCAAUAGCCCAUAUAGAUUCAGGAAAAAUUUUAAAGGGUCAGAGAGUAAUACUUGCUAGACACUCUCCUCUGUUGGGCUGCAGCCCACUGCUGAAGUCAAGGCAAUCAUUGAGAGUUCAGCCCCAUCCUGGCAUUUGGGCCCCAAGAAGACAUUCAUGAUUAUUUCAGUAACUAUAUUCAAGACUUCCAUUGAGCUUUUAACCUCUUUAGCAAUAGACAAUUCCUGUUUCCUGUAAGUAUGGUGUAUUUCCCAAACCAAAUCCAGGGUAUAUUGGCUUGCUUAAGGGAUAGAACACUGAAUAGAGUUUCAGCAAGUACACCACAAACUGCUAGAACACUUGAUCUCUUUCAAUACAAUUGCUGUCAAUGUUUUUAAAAUUUUGGAGACAUAGAGUACUUUGUGCUUAUGAAGGUUUUUCAUGUAUGCAUCUGACAAAAGUUUUCUGAGCUGCAAGUAUCAGUCUAAUAAUUGAUUUGGCUCAUAAAAUUGCCUUACAUGUUCUUCCUUUAUCAACUAUGCUUUUCAAACAUGGUAUACAAGAACACUUUUUUUUGAGACACAGUCUCCGUCUGUUGCCCAGACUGGAGUGCAGUGGUACAAUCUCAACUCACUGCGAUCUCUGCCUCCUGGGUUCAAGUAAUUCUCAUGCCUCAGCCUCCCGAGUAGCUGGGAUUAUAGGCAUUUGCCACCACGCCUGGCUUUUUGUAUUUUUUGUAGAGAUGGAGUUUCAUCAUGUUGGCCAGGCUGGCCUUGAACUCCUGACCUCAGGUGAUCCUCCCACCUUGGCCUCCCAAAGUGCUGGGAUUAUAGGCAUGAGCCACUGUGCCCAAAAUAAUAACCUAUAUGGAAAUUUUGUAAAUUAGCUUGCAUGUUAUUAAGCUAUCCUUAUCCACCUCAACUCAUCUCUUUAAUUUAUUUGUCUCCCUGUAGUUUAUUCCCUCUACCCCGCAUUUUAACUUUCUGGAAACGUGUGGUAAAAAGCAAUGUGUAAAAGGCAGGCUUCCAAUCUGAAAAGAGAUGAGCGAAAACAGUAUAUAGCAUAAUGGACUAGAUCAGAGUAACUGCUUAGGAUGGAACAGCCAACCGUUCUUCAGCUGCUUCCAGAGUUCAUCUGUAGCCCAGUUAUCUAGAGCCUUGCUAUUCAAAGAUGGUCUGUGCACCAGCAGCACUGGCAGCACCUAGGGACUUGGGAAAAAUGCAGAAUCUCAGGCCCCACCCAAACCAACUUAAUUUGAAUCUUUUUGUUUUGUUUUGCUGCUUGACACCACAAAGGUUUCUUUCUGUCUCUCCUCAUGAUGAAUUAUGUUGGUGGGGAUGAGGAGUGCUGGCUUCCGCAUGGUCACAGGACUAUCAGGAACCCAUUCAGAAACACACGACCCAUUUAGCAGCUCCUCUCCUUAACUGUCAGCCCCUGGCCACCACCACCACCAGAA